AAACGCUAGCUACGUCACAGUCCUUAUACUAGCUAACUUCUGCCUGAGUUAAAUGCUAAUCUCAGCUGGGCUCCGCACACCAGAAUCGCGAAAUGAAUCCAAAUUUGUCACAGGACUUACGAAGUGUCAAAUCUAUAUGAAUGUAAGCUCGCAUGUGGCUUGUCACAGCUGUUUCAUUUGGAAAUGUGAGCCGAGGACGGGCGGUCAUUUCACAGGAAAACACCACAAAUUCCAGCUAGCCGAUAGCGCUUUGUCUGUUGUGAGGGAGUGGGAGAGAUUUCCUGUAAUACAUCAAAACAUGUGUCAGUAUUUGGUACUGUUAUCAACCAGCAUGUGUGAUAUUGGGUAGUUGCUCUUGCUAACAAUGUGCGCAGCUGUUGUACAGUAUUCCAGCUUGUCAGCAUCCGCAAAAGGUUUAAUUUCAUGAGAUAGCAGUCGUUAGGGUGAUAUCACAUCAUAGCUGGAUUGUCUCUUCUUAAACCACUGUCGACAUUGUGAACAUCCAAAGAGCUCUUUAGCAUGUUGUAUAAUCAUAAAAUGAACUCUCAGGAAUCUUACGUGUGAAUAUUUAAUGAGACAGACUCUUAUCAUGGCGGACUACUUGAACAAACCUACCGAUGAAGUAAAUUGGCCUUCUGUUUUUUGGGGGUUUUCUGUAUUUCCUCCUUGUAGUUUUCGCUAUUACCCAAGACUCUUCGUGUCAUGUAUUUUCUGCAGAGUUGCACAGUCUUCUUUAAGGGUUUGUAAUCUGCCUGCUAUAUAGCAACACAGUUUAGAAAUCAAACCCUGCAGAAGCCAGGCGUAGUUGCAGUUAUACGUUUGUGUAUUGUGAAUUUUGUGUGCUCUGCUGCAUAUGCACAUGCUCAUUUCUUUUUUUUUUUAGAGAUGGGUGAAAAUGAGAGACAGUGCUUUAAAUUUUGCAGUUUUGCUUCAUUUGACAUGAGUGACACAGAAAAGACUAUUUUAAUUUUUUAAAAAAAAGAGGAAUACGGUGGGUGAUGAAAGUAGAACACGGGAUUCACAGCUUAGAGCGAGAAAGCAAUUUAAUGCAUUGUGAGGCCUUUCAGUCCUUUGACCAAAUUAGCUUCCAUGUCCAAAUAUGCCUACGCCAUUGUACCAAUGCCUGUAAUAGGACUGUAGAUUCUGCAAAAGUCUUGAUGACCGUAUUUAAUUCAUAACCAAUUAAUUGGUUAUGAAUGUACAUUCACUUAUAUAGAUUCUCUGCAGUAUGUGGGAAUUGCCGCCACACACUUGAUGCUAAAAUGCAUCUUCAAUAAUAUGAUUAGAAGUGAGGAGCACAAGCAUUAGUGCAUUUAGACUGGUGGGCGGUAUGUCGUCACUUGUGUUGUGUGAGCACAAAUUUGUCCCUGGCCACCUUAAAGUGUACUACUUAAGGUAAUUGACAAAAAAGUAAUCAACCAAUCCAGCUUUUCAGUUAUGAGUAUUUUCUGCCAUGAAAUACUCCAUGAAAAUAUUGGUUGGUUGCAGCCCUGUUAUUCCUAACACUGAGGAAUUGAUAACAAAAACGGCAGCACAAAAAAGACAACAACAACGAAGUGAUUUCUUCAAAUCUCAACUUCACUUCAAACUUUAUUUGUCAGUAUAUUUUUACGUGCACUGAAAUCCUUCCUCUGCAUUUAACCCAUCACUGAUUGAAACAUGCAACAUGCAGUGAAACACACAAAAGUAGUGGGCUGCAACUAUCAAGCGCCCAGGGAGCAAAUAUUGGGUGUUCAGUGCCUUGUUCAAGGACACAUCAGCUGGCUAAUGGAGGGAGGGAGACAUUGAUUAAUCACUCCACCACACCCAAAUUUUAUUUCCUGCCUGUCCGGGGGAAACGAACCGGUGACCCUCCGGUUACAAGCCACUUCUCCUCCUCCUCCUCCUCCUCCUCCUCUAGGCCACGGCUGCCCCCCAACACAAUCGCUGAUUCAUUUAGGAUCUGUUGACGUAAAGGGGUCUACGUUUAUCAGCAAAAAUCUAUUUUUCUUCACAUUGCUUAUCUCUGUUUUCAGGUAUUCAAACCUCUUGCUGUCGCAGUGCAGUUCUAAUGCAUGCAACGUCGCAAUUUACUAACAUCAAACGCAGACGCAUUUGAUGUGCGGACUCUUUUCUUCGGCCUGUGUGUGUUUUCCUGCUUAGCAUGGCAGUGGUCAGGGCCUCAUCGCACAUGAAGUUAGGUUUGUAAGGGGAAUUGAAAUCCUUUCAGAAGAAGCUACUCGAACGGCAUUUUAAACGCCUCUUCUGGUGUUAAUAAAUAGUUAAUUUGCCAAGUUUCACAGAGAGGGAAGUAAAUCUCAACAUUGUCUGAUUAAUAUGUUUUCGUUGUCCUUUUAGAAUUUAAGUAUGUACCGUAAUCAACUUACAAACCCGGAAAUCACUCAUAGCUCUGCCAAAAUUCAGGGGAGCUUCAGUGUUUUAAAUGCUGCGUGCUCCUGCAUAUUGAGAGUAGCUACACAAUGAAGGAUUGGAAACACAAACAGCUUUAUUUCCUGUCAUUCAGAGAUGCUAAACUGUUGGCUGUGUUACAGUAAUGGUGUAAAUGUGUUUGGGGAUUUUGUGGUCCUUGGGCUUUUGAUGAAAAACUGUGGGCUUGAACUUGUGGCUUUCACAAGUUUCCGACUUUGCUCAGACAGUCAGGAGAGUGUGAGUGCGCUAUAAAAUGUGACUGGAUCGGCCUCCUCUUGAAUUGUGUAUUGAGAUGUCAAUCAAGUUGCGUGGUUGAAAUCUGGGAAAUGACUGAGAAAUGAGUGAAUACAUUCCUCUGUACAUAAUUGUGAUGAGUCAUUGCAUACAAUAGCCCAGCUUGUGAUAUGGUGACUGGGGCUUUCCGAAGAAAAUAAACAUCUUACCUUUUGAGUUUGCUUUUAUUUUUGCUUUUGGUGGAGUGUUUUAUCUCACUUAUUAAUUCACUGCAGUACUUGUUGAGGAGACCCAUAACAUGAUCUUAAUACACUUUAAUAGAGUACAUAUUGAAGUCAUGUCUUUAUCGUCAUUCUCUAGUUUUCGUCCUUUUCACUGGUACAAAGAGUUUUGGCUGUGGCUCAGUUGAAUUUGCUUUCUGAUUGCUCAUUCUGACAAGUCACAGCAGGAAGCUCACAGUUGCAUUGAAGAUUGCUUUACUGAUUAUCUGAUUAUGCAAGGUGGUUCAUUGCGACAGUCUAAAAACACUAAAAGGGUUUUUCCUGCACUAACAAGUCAACAUGUCUGCUGUGUUGCCAUUUUUUUUUUUUUUUUAAACAGACGCCAGCAUAUAUGAUAAUGAGCAUUAACAUGCUGCUAUUUGGGUGCAUUUCAUUGCACUGUGCUUUGUGUGACUUUCUUAUCUUGCUUUUACUUUCUGUGCAAAAAAAAAUGUGUCUUUGUGUUCUGCCUAAUAUGUUGUGUGCAGUAUGAACUCAUUUUGAAAGCGUUUUGCAGCAGCACUGACGAACGUUUUCAUCUGUUUUGCGUUUCUCACAUGACCAGUAACCUCAUUUUUUUUUUUUUUUUUUUUUAAAAGCCUGACAACAUCUGCUCUCUUCCUGCUUCUGGAAGAGGUUUUUGCUUUGUAUACAUUAGUCUUGUCUGCUACUGCUGCCUUUGGUUUUUAAAGUGAUUACAAUCUGCAUCAAUCAUAAAAUAAACAUGAUGUUCCCAAA
Scatophagus argus is the source of this 3641-nucleotide long non-coding RNA. RefSeq lists it as uncharacterized. The transcript has 2 exons. Lineage: Eukaryota; Metazoa; Chordata; Actinopteri; Scatophagidae. The record is from RefSeq and is a predicted model, not a curated record.